RNAcentral lists this ribosomal RNA (1505 nucleotides) under Burkholderia pseudomallei. Its description in RNAcentral is "partial 23S ribosomal RNA". It matches the Rfam family "Bacterial large subunit ribosomal RNA", at positions 1431 to 2925 of the family's 2925-position model. Lineage: Bacteria; Pseudomonadati; Pseudomonadota; Betaproteobacteria; Burkholderiales; Burkholderiaceae. The record is from RNAcentral.
CAAUAUUCCUGCACCAUUGUUAGAUGCGAUGGGGGGACGGAUCGCGGAAGGUUGUCCGGGUGUUGGAAGUCCCGGUCGCUGCAUUGGAGAAGGCGCUUAGGCAAAUCCGGGCGCAGGAUUCAAGGGUGUGGCGCGAGCUCCUUCGGGAGCGAAGCAAUUGGAAGUGGUUCCAAGAAAAGCCUCUAAGCUUCAGUCUAACGAUGACCGUACUGCAAACCGACACAGGUGGGCGAGAUGAGUAUUCUAAGGCGCUUGAGAGAACUCGGGAGAAGGAACUCGGCAAAUUGGUACCGUAACUUCGGGAUAAGGUACGCCCUGGUAGCUUGACUGGCCUGCGCCAGAAGGGUGAAGGGGUUGCAAUAAACUGGUGGCUGCGACUGUUUAAUAAAAACACAGCACUCUGCAAACACGAAAGUGGACGUAUAGGGUGUGACGCCUGCCCGGUGCCGGAAGAUUAAAUGAUGGGGUGCAAGCUCUUGAUUGAAGUCCCGGUAAACGGCGGCCGUAACUAUAACGGUCCUAAGGUAGCGAAAUUCCUUGUCGGGUAAGUUCCGACCUGCACGAAUGGCGUAACGAUGGCCACACUGUCUCCUCCCGAGACUCAGCGAAGUUGAAGUGUUUGUGAUGAUGCAAUCUACCCGCGGCUAGACGGAAAGACCCCAUGAACCUUUACUGUAGCUUUGCAUUGGACUUUGAACCGAUCUGUGUAGGAUAGGUGGGAGGCUAUGAAACCGGAACGCUAGUUUCGGUGGAGCCGUCCUUGAAAUACCACCCUGGUUUGUUUGAGGUUCUAACCUUGGCCCGUGAUCCGGGUCGGGGACAGUGCAUGGUAGGCAGUUUGACUGGGGCGGUCUCCUCCCAAAGCGUAACGGAGGAGUACGAAGGUACGCUAGGUACGGUCGGAAAUCGUGCUGAUAGUGCAAUGGCAUAAGCGUGCUUAACUGCGAGACCGACAAGUCGAGCAGGUGCGAAAGCAGGUCAUAGUGAUCCGGUGGUUCUGUAUGGAAGGGCCAUCGCUCAACGGAUAAAAGGUACUCUGGGGAUAACAGGCUGAUACCGCCCAAGAGUUCAUAUCGACGGCGGUGUUUGGCACCUCGAUGUCGGCUCAUCUCAUCCUGGGGCUGUAGCCGGUCCCAAGGGUAUGGCUGUUCGCCAUUUAAAGAGGUACGUGAGCUGGGUUUAAAACGUCGUGAGACAGUUUGGUCCCUAUCUGCCGUGGGCGUUGGAAGUUUGAAGGGGGCUGCUCCUAGUACGAGAGGACCGGAGUGGACGAACCUCUGGUGUACCGGUUGUGACGCCAGUCGCAUCGCCGGGUAGCUAUGUUCGGAAGAGAUAACCGCUGAAAGCAUCUAAGCGGGAAACUCGCCUUAAGAUGAGACUUCCCCGGGGACUUGAUCCCCUUGAAGGGUCGUUCGAGACCAGGACGUUGAUAGGUCGGGUGUGUAAGCGCAGUAAUGCGUUCAGCUAACCGAUACUAAUUGCCCGUACGGCUUGAUCCUAUAACA